UGGGGGAUAUUGCACAAUGGGGGAAACCCUGAUGCAGCGACGCCGCGUGAAGGAAGAAGUAUUUCGGUAUGUAAACUUCUAUCAGCAGGGAAGAAAAUGACGGUACCUGACUAAGAAGCCCCGGCUAACUAUGUGCCAGCAGCCGCGGUAAUACAUAGGGGGCAAGCGUUAUCCGGAAUGACUGGGUGUAAAGGGAGCGUAGGCGGAAUGGCAAGUCUGAUGUGAAAACCCGGGGCUCAACCCCGGGCCUGCAUUGGAAACUGUUGCUCUAGAGAGCAGGAGAGGUAAGCGGAAUUCCUGGUGUAGCGGUGAAAUGCGUAGAUAUCAGGAGGAACACCGGUGGCGAAGGCGGCUUACUGGACUGUUACUGACGCUGAGGCUCGAAAGCGUGGGGAGCAA
Molecule: ribosomal RNA, 399 nt
Filed under: uncultured bacterium
Lineage: Bacteria
Description: bacterial SSU rRNA
Rfam family: Bacterial small subunit ribosomal RNA
Source: RNAcentral